AGCUGGAAUUACAGGCAUGCACCACCACACCAAGCUAAUUGUACUUCAGAGACAGGGUUUCACCAUAUUGGCCAGGCUUGUCUCGAACUCUUGACCUUAAGGGAUCCGCCCAACUAUGUCUCCCAAGUGCUGGAUUACAGGCGUGAGCCACCGUACUCAGCCAGUUCCACCUGAUUUUUAAAAUUGCCUUGGCCAGCAUUGGAUACACAGUAAAUAUUUAGUAAAUGCUUUCCACAUUGAAUCAAAGAAGUUUCCCAUCUUAGCUAUUUCCUUGAAACUUUCCCGAAGUUUGAAACCUAAUAGAUCAUCAGUGACAUCCUCUUCAUCAUAGUUUCACCUCUGCCUAAUAAAGCACAAAUUACUCUUAAGCAAUGAGGCGCUGUGCAUUUGAAGCCUUUUAUAGCUCCAUUUGUCUGCAGUCACCUAAAAGUCAAUGGAUAGAUGUGUUUGUCAUAAUGUGUGAUAAGUGCAAAUAACCCUUGUUAGUAGUGUCAUUAGAGAUGAAAUAGAUGCAUAGGAACUAAGAGGUCAUAAGCUGUCAGGUUUUACUGUAAGGAAAUACAGAAUGUCAUUUGCACCUAAAAAUGCGCAGAAGUAAAUGGACAAUUCUUCACCGCAAUAUUACUUGUUUUUCAAAGCUUACAUGUUUACAUUUAAGCUUUUAACAUUUAAACAUGUUACAUUGGCAUGUUUACAUUUGUUCACCCACUACCUUACUCAUGGCAUAGCAAAAUAAGCCAUAAAUUAAAAAUAGCUCAGUAUACCACUGAAGAAGUCAAUAGAUCUGAAUAUAGUAGCAUAGCAAAGCAGCUUCAGUUUACUGGAUGUGCCUUCAAGGCAGACCAUGCCCGUUAGGUAGAGGAUUAGUGGAGAACAGAAAUCUCUGCCUCUCUAUGGCUAGAAGUGGAUCUAUGUCAUUGAUCUACCGACAGUGACACUUUUCCUUACUUGAAACUUGGGUAUACAGUGACCUCACCUACUCAUAGAAUCUCCAAAAGUGGGGAAUUAAUAAUAGAAAAAGGCUUUUGAGUAGCCAAAAAGGAUUUGAUAAAGUUAAUAUUCUAAGUUAGCCUGUUCUCUUACCAGAUAGUAUGUCUCCUCAGUUCUUGCUUUCUUGAUGUGAAGUUCUGAAACUUUGUUGUCUGGUGUCUGUUCCCUAACAAGUGCCACUAUAUUAUAUUUUGAGCUAGUGACAAGGGACCUAUCUUUGUCCCUGUUCCUACAUCCUUCUGGACUCCAACUGGUUUGAUGAAGCGAGAGUACCUCAAGAGACAUAUACAUGCCAAGAACGGCCUGUAACAGUUUUAUUGCCCCUCCCCUGCCCAACUCAUUGAAGGAAACAGGAGGGAGUGAACCCCAGUGUCUUCGGUUAAAUCCAUUGCAGUCCACUCUUGUGUUCUAAUGAGUAUAUUACAAUUGCAGUCUGAAGUCAUUUCAGAGCUCCUAUCCUUUACUACGAGCUGACUUAGGCGGGACUGCUCCAGCAACUUGGGGCGGAGGCCCAGGGUCUGACUUUUCUCCCUGCUUCCCUACUCCUGCUCUGUUAAGGGUGAGAGGUUGGGAAGUUUGCUCUCCUCUCUGUGAUGAGUUGUUGCUGCCAAUCUGACUCCUAAUGCUAUAGAUUUAUUAAGGCUGGAUGAUGAAAGAUUGGGCCCUGAUGACAACGGAGCCAUCCCGAGUUCCUCUGACAGUGAUGAGCCUCCCAGGAGAGGCAGCCACAGCUGAAGCACACACAGCUCCCUUCCGCUGUGGCAGCCCCACAAGCCUGCAAACCCGUAUCUCAUCACAGCCUCGGUUCUCAACUCUGAGGCUGGCCAGACCUCCAACUGGUGGUGGUUGCUGUUUCAGGCCCAGGCAUAAUCAAAUCCAUGUGAAGAAGAGAGAUUUCUUCCUGGGUGGCCCUUCGCGAGAGAAAGAAAAUUUUCCUACAAGUCUUCCAGAAGAGUUCUUUAUGUCUUAAUGGCAGCAGUGAGGAUGCCAGGGUCCCUGGGUUUCUAGAAGACAAGUUUUCAGCUGUAGAUACAAACAUUAGGACGUCAAUGUAUCUGUCAGGAGAACACCUGGGACAGUGUUGAGAACGCACAACCUGGAGGCUAAACCUCCAGCUUUCUAUGCUAGCUGAGAGUCUGUGGGCACAUUACUCAGCAUCUCUGAACCUCGUGCUCCUCCUCUGUGACAUGUAGAUUGCUAAACCCAUCUCACAGGGCUGUCUUCUGCAUUUAAAGAAUAAAAUAACACAUGAGGGGUCUA
This is a long non-coding RNA of Piliocolobus tephrosceles (Ugandan red Colobus), 2250 nucleotides long. RefSeq lists it as uncharacterized. The record is from RefSeq and is a predicted model, not a curated record. The transcript has 3 exons. NCBI's taxonomy places the organism in Eukaryota, Metazoa, Chordata, Mammalia, Primates, Cercopithecidae.